Long non-coding RNA from Pezoporus occidentalis (night parrot), 497 nucleotides. RefSeq lists it as uncharacterized. The transcript has 2 exons. The record is from RefSeq and is a predicted model, not a curated record. Lineage: Eukaryota; Metazoa; Chordata; Aves; Psittaciformes; Psittacidae.
AUAUUUUGUUUGAAUGCAAAUGGUGGUACCGGCAAGUUUCACACCCUGAGAAAUUUAGAGCCGUGUGCCGGGAUGGAGUGAUCUCAUAUCCUACGUGUGAAUACGCAGGGGUUUUUGGAUGAAUGGAAGUGGCACAAAGGAUUCCAGCUCUGGCAAUGAAGGAUCUCCACCGACCUUGUGAUUUGAGCUUAAUUUUUCCUGGCAAUUCCCAUUCUCUUGUGUUUUCUUUGCAGCUUAGUCAAUGUUCCGUCUUGGAAUUUGUCAUGGCUUUUAUGAUUAGAUGAUUGCUUUUACAUUUUAUUCACAUCCUUUUUACGUAAAUGUAUUUACAUUUUGUAAAUGUGUUUACAUUUUGCCUAUCCAAACGGCUGUGUUUGCAUUUUAUUCAUUCUUCAUUGAUCUCAUUGUUAGUUUUAUUAACCAUCGUGUCCUGAAAUAGGCUGGCUUUGCUGGCAUACAGAGACAGGAAUUAAAGCCUGCAGGUACUUUGGUCAUUA